RNAcentral lists this ribosomal RNA (287 nucleotides) under uncultured Sphingobacteriales bacterium. RNAcentral's name for it is "partial 16S ribosomal RNA". It matches the Rfam family "Bacterial small subunit ribosomal RNA", at positions 1097 to 1382 of the family's 1533-position model. The record is from RNAcentral. Lineage: Bacteria; Pseudomonadati; Bacteroidota; Sphingobacteriia; Sphingobacteriales.
GCUAACCCCUACCUUUAGUUGCCAUCAGGUUAAGCUGGGGACUCUAAAGGAACUGCCUACGCAAGUAGUGAGGAAGGCGGGGAUGACGUCAAAUCAGCACGGCCCUUACGUCCAGGGCUACACACGUGCUACAAUGGCCGAUACGGAGGGCAGCUACCUGGUGACAGGAUGCAAAUCUACCAAAGUCGGUCUCAGUUCGGAUUGGAGUCUGCAACCCGACUCCGUGAAGUUGGAUUCGCUAGUAAUCGCGCAUCAGCCAUGGCGCGGUGAAUACGUUCCCGGGCCUU